This is a long non-coding RNA of Ornithorhynchus anatinus (platypus), 384 nucleotides long. RefSeq lists it as uncharacterized. NCBI's taxonomy places the organism in Eukaryota, Metazoa, Chordata, Mammalia, Monotremata, Ornithorhynchidae. The record is from RefSeq and is a predicted model, not a curated record. The transcript has 5 exons.
CGCCCAGGCCCCUCCCUGGGCUGUGAGGGGCAGCGAGGGGGGCGGGGGUCUGGGCUCCUCGGACCGUCACCGUCUGUCUCUCCGCAGCCCCGACUCAGGACCGUCCGGACCGCUUUGAAUAUGACUACGACACGGUCCGCACCAUCGGCCUCACCCUGGCCACGAUCAUGUUCGUGGUAGGAAUUAUCAUUGUCCUCAGCAAGAAGGUGAAAUGCAGGAAAUCGGACUCGAGCAGUAAAUCCGACCUGCGACCCAUCAAAACUCCAACUCCGGCCAUGUAGACCGACUCACUGUUCCGCCCAGCAAACCCGGCUCCUCCACCGACCCCGGGCCGGUCUGGGCCGGGCCGGGCCGGGCCGGGCCGGGCCAGGGGAGCCGGGGGGA